Molecule: long non-coding RNA, 279 nt
Filed under: Homo sapiens (human)
Lineage: Eukaryota; Metazoa; Chordata; Mammalia; Primates; Hominidae
Description: HSALNT0131619
Source: RNAcentral
AGAGUGUGCCCUUCGAGCCACCCAGGCGGCCUGAGCUGACCGGACGCCCUUGGUUUUGGUGUGUGGGGCACAGGUCUGAAGGCAAAUGUGAAGCCGGCGAAGCCUCUGUGCCGAUGUUACCAGGAGUUUUCACCCUCUCGGAAAGAAGAUUUGAAACUUCUGGCUUAACCUGACAUUUUGCUGUGGUGGUGAUCCAACCUUUAAUUGUUAAAAUCAUUUGCUCCUUAAAUGGUUAAUCCUUAAUCAUUAGAGCCCCAUCAUCAGGGAGUCUCUGUCCGC